This 253-nucleotide ribosomal RNA is filed under the name uncultured bacterium. RNAcentral describes it as "partial 16S ribosomal RNA". It matches the Rfam family "Bacterial small subunit ribosomal RNA", at positions 524 to 776 of the family's 1533-position model. The record is from RNAcentral.
GACAGAGGGUGCAAACGUUGCUCGGAAUCACUGGGCGUAAAGGGCGUGUAGGCGGGAAGGAAGGUCAGAUGUGAAAGCCCUGGGCUCAACCCAGGAACUGCAUUUGAAACUCCCUUUCUUGAGUGUCGGAGAGGAAAGCGGAAUUCCUGGUGUAGAGGUGAAAUUCGUAGAUAUCAGGAGGAACACCGGUGGCGAAGGCGGCUUUCUGGACGACAACUGACGCUGAGACGCGAAAGCGUGGGGAGCAAACAGG